Molecule: non-coding RNA, 208 nt
Organism: Oryza punctata
Lineage: Eukaryota; Viridiplantae; Streptophyta; Magnoliopsida; Poales; Poaceae
Source: Rfam
UUUAAGUGCAGAUGGGGCUUCUUAUGUCCAACGUUUCACUGUCCGUCUUAUUUAAAAUUAUUUUAUAAUUAAUAAUAAUAUUAUUAAAUGAUAAAGCAUGAAUAAUACUUUAUACGUGACUUAUUUUUUAAAAUUUUUUCAUAAAUUUUUCACAUAAGAUAGACGAACGAUCAAAUGUUGGACAUGGAAACCGACAACUGUACUUAAA